This 288-nucleotide ribosomal RNA is filed under the name uncultured bacterium. RNAcentral describes it as "partial 16S ribosomal RNA". It matches the Rfam family "Bacterial small subunit ribosomal RNA", at positions 28 to 272 of the family's 1533-position model. The record is from RNAcentral.
GACGAACGCUGGCGGCGUGCUUAACACAUGCAAGUCGAGCGGUAAGGCCCUUUCGGGGGUACACGAGCGGCGAACGGGUGAGUAACACGUGGGUGACCUGCCCUCAGCUCUGGGAUAAGCCUGGGAAACUGGGUCUAAUACUGGAUAUGACUCCACGGUGCAUGUCGUGGGGUGGAAAGCCUUGUGCGGCUGAGGAUGGGGCCCCGCGACGUACUCUAGCGUUGUUUGGGUUGGGGGUUGGGGAGUAGGUCCGGUACCCCUAAACCGGACGGACCGGAACCGGGUAAC